Long non-coding RNA from Pieris rapae (cabbage white), 2061 nucleotides. RefSeq lists it as uncharacterized. The transcript is spliced from 3 exons. The record is from RefSeq and is a predicted model, not a curated record. NCBI's taxonomy places the organism in Eukaryota, Metazoa, Arthropoda, Insecta, Lepidoptera, Pieridae.
GUAUUGCAAGAUCGAUACGGUGAUGUUGACGAUGAGCGUAUGAAGAGAGAGACAGACAGACUGGUUUUCUCCACUGCGGAGGAGCAGAACUCGAAUUAUGAAGAAAGAACGGAUCCGAGUUUUAAAACAGAAGUUGGCUGAACGGGAAGCGGCUGCAGCUGAUGGCGUAACCCAAGGUACGAUUGUAGCCAUUGGUGACUGCCACCUCAGACUAUGGCACCUCCACUAACUACACACGCUCAUCCCGCGCCUCUGUAUCCGAUCUAGACUUCUCUGAGAGCUAUCUGUAACUGGUUCAAGCAGCUUACAGUUUGUGAAAUUGUCACACCUUAAAAGGAUAUUAAAAAUAAAUCCUCCAAUACUAUCGUUCCCAUUACAAAAGUCUUAAGAACAUCACACUUUGGUGUUACACAAAACUAUUUCAAAGUUAGUAUAAAUAGAGUAAAUAUUAUAUAAAAAUGCAAAAAUCUUCGACGAGCCUUAUCCCCUUAUUCAUAAAAAGUAAAUUAUUAUAAUUGCACUAUUUUAAGUCUUUCGUCACUAUCUAUCAAAUAGUGUUUACACUAUCAUGAAAGAAACAAAUGAUUACUUCAUUACCCUAAUACGAUGUAUAGUCUGUCAUUUCCUGUUAAUAUGUUUUGUAUUUCCAUUAGAGGGAAAUGGAAUUAAUGAUGUAUAUCGUCUAACUAAAGCUCACCGUGAAAAAAGUCUUCCUACCUACGUCACUCUCACUUUUUUACUCGACACCUUAUAUUAAGUACAGAUUGUAGCAGGUAGGACAUAGUUUCGAUAUAAGUGUAGUCUAAUAUAACUUGUUACUUGACAUCGAUAUAAGGCCCUAUUCUCAUUUUUCUACUGCAUGACAAAUAUAUACUUUAAUUUCCUAUUCUAAAUAAUAUUUAAACGGAGAUUAGUAUAUGCUUCAAAUUUAAUUCAAUUUAGCACAUUCCAAACGCUCGUCAUUUGUUUUACUUAAUUCACAACCUUCGUGUUCUAUCUUGGUGUUACUAUUUUCUAUGUAUAAAACUUGAGUCUAAGGUAUACUUUUCCCGAUAAUAACAUCCCAUAUACAUUUAACAAAACAAGUUACUUUUUACAUAUUUUUUCUUAUAAAACGCUAAAAACAACUCUGCAAUAAAUAUCUUAUAUCUGUGUUCAUAAAUUUAAAAAAAGAAACAUGUCUGUUCCUUUAAUUAAUAAUCCUUCACUUAGAAUCUCGUCACAAAUUUCUCUUUUUACUCAAUUAGAUGCAUGUCUCAUUUAUAUACGACAAAAUUAGUACGACCUACUUAAUUAUAAAAUAACGAAGAAAACACUUCACAACGACUACACAAUAUAAUGUAUUUACAGUGAUAAUGUUAAGCUAAGCACUUUAUAACACUUUACUUGGCACACAUUUAAUAUUUAGAGGUUAAAUUCAUUGUAUAACAAUUUAUGUAAAAUGUUAUGUAUUUGUAGAUGUAUAAAUAGGUUAAAAAGUUUUCUUUGUAUUCGUUCACUUUUAUUUUUAAUUCGUGCAGUCAAAUCUCGUUAUAGCAAUAAAUUAAAAUGUAUAUAUUCUUAAUUUAAUUAAAUACAAAUUGGUAAAUAAUUGGUUAUAUUUUUUUCAAAAUUGAUUCAAAUAAUGAGGAGAAAAAGAUCAUUAAGCGGCAAAAUCUGAAUCGAUCAUGUUCAAGACGAACACAUCUGAACUCCAACUUCAAUAGUUUCGACGUUUUCAAAUUGUAUAAAAUGUCUUUAAAAGUAUAACUAAUCAUAAGGAACAAAGUGUUCUUAUACUAAUAGACGACUGGGCUUAAGAUAAUCCAAAAUAAUAAUAGGAUAAUUACAACUGAAAAUGUGCAUAAUAUUCGUAACAGACGUAUGCACUAGAGGAUAAAUGACAUCGCAAAUACGGGCAAGUUAACAGCGAUUAUGAUAGAUAUGAUCGAUGAUAACAGCAUGGAUAAAGAAACCAAUUUGGGUAAGCAUUUAAAAUAAUUAAUUAGAUAAUCAACUACCGGUUCUUGCCAUAUCUAUAAAACAACAGUGCGUCAGAGAUACGUACAAAUAUCCAACCUU